CCUACGGGAGGCAGCAGUAGGGAAUCUUUCACAAUGGGCGAAAGCCUGAUGGAGCAACGCCGCGUGCAGGAUGAAGGCCUUCGGGUUGUAAACUGCUUUUAUAAGCGAGAAAUAUGAUGGUAACUUAUGAAUAAGGAUCGGCUAACUACGUGCCAGCAGCCGCGGUCAUACGUAGGAUCCGAGCAUUAUCCGGAGUGACUGGGUGUAAAGAGUUGCGUAGGUGGCAUAAUAAGUAGCUAGUGAAAUCUGGUGGCUCAACCAUUCAGACUAUUAGCUAAACUGUUAAGCUCGAGACCGUUAGGGGUAACUGGAAUUUCUAGUGUAGGAGUGAAAUCCGUAGAUAUUAGAAGGAACACCAAUAGCGUAGGCAGGUUGCUGGGACGGUUCUGACACUAAGGCUCGAAAGCGUGGGGAGCAAACAGGAUUAGAUACCCGAGUAGUC
RNAcentral lists this ribosomal RNA (442 nucleotides) under uncultured bacterium. Its description in RNAcentral is "partial 16S ribosomal RNA". It matches the Rfam family "Bacterial small subunit ribosomal RNA", at positions 338 to 795 of the family's 1533-position model. The record is from RNAcentral.